Apis laboriosa (Himalayan honeybee) is the source of this 2358-nucleotide long non-coding RNA. RefSeq lists it as uncharacterized. The record is from RefSeq and is a predicted model, not a curated record. The transcript has 5 exons. NCBI's taxonomy places the organism in Eukaryota, Metazoa, Arthropoda, Insecta, Hymenoptera, Apidae.
AUAACAAUAUUAAUUGAAACAAAAUUUUUAAGUUUAUAAAAAAUAGUUUUUUUAAUAUAAUUUUUUAAAAGAUAAAAUUUUAUGAAUAAAAAAAUAAGAAAUAAUACUUAUUUUGAAAUAUCUCGUACGCAAUAUCGAAUCGCCUCUAGAAAGCUUCAUUUUUGAUACGCAACACAAAGCAUGGUCUCGAAUUCACGAUUGAUACUGUAAUUCGAGUUUAUUGUAAGCUAAUGAUCGUAAUUCUUGUUGAAUAGCGUUUCUUGCGCGUUUCAAUGGGAUGUAACGAAAGCCCCUUGUUCCAGGGAUAUACAAAUAUACUGGAUUGUGAAAUAAUGUGUCGAUUUUAAGUUUAGUCACGUAAAAAGAAGACAACAUAAAAUAAAUUAUCUGGUUAAAGGAUUUUCAAAAAAUUGCGUUUUACCAUCUUUAUUCUUUGUUGAUCGAAUGUUAUUUGUUUUAUGCAAUCGGAAAGUGUUGGAUGUCAAAAGUAAGAAAAAAUUUAAAAAUCAAUUUAAAAAAUUGUUUAAAUCAUGUUUCAUCGAAGAUUUUCAUGAGUUCCACAAAAGAACAAAAUGAUAUAUAUCCAUGGAACGAUCGAAUGCUUUCUUCCCUUGUGUGUUUGCUUUGUAACUUGAAACAGGCUAUAUAGAUUCAUUUUCUCUUCUUUUUAUAUGGUGAACCUCGAUCGCUUUCUAUGCGAUAUGAUCGUUUUCUUUCUUUUUCUUUUGUGCUAUUAAAUGAGAGCGCGAUUGACGUUACACCAUAAAUUAACUACUAAAUAUUAUUAUUAUUAUUUCUAUUCCUAUUAUUAUUAAUAUUAAUGUUUACAUAUAUAUAUAUAUAUAUAUAUAUAUACAUAUAUAUAUAUAUAUGUAUAUAUAUAUAAUAGAUUCAUUCAUUUAAUAUUUUCCAAGAAAUAUGUAUUUAUAUUCAUAUAUAUACAAACAUUUGAAUAUAAUUAUCUAAAUCGGCGUUAACCUAUCCAAAUUAAUUUUUUAUCACGCAAUGCGAUCAUAAUGAUCAGACAAAUGACAAUUCCUUCAUUUAAUCUAUUAUUUUCAUUCGGCUUUGUGGUAUUUUUUAUAACUAGUAGGUAUUUUUGAUUAGUCUGGUGAUUUGGAUCGUUUUGGUGAUUUUUGUCUUUUUAAUAUGGCGAAAUCGUGUGUCAAAGUGCCUAAAAUCAUUGAUCGCGAAUGUAAUCUAUGUGAUCUACAGCUCAGUCUUGACGAUCGACCUCUCGUUUUUUAUGUAAAUAUACAGAAGAGUCGGUUAAUAAUAAGCUAUUACAGAUAUACAUGUAUUUUUUAUUUUUCGUACUCUUUUAAAUGAACUUUUAACUAAUAAAAGAAGAAAGAUAAGGUAAUUAUGUAGUCAUAUAUUUUAUAAAAUGUUUUCUCGAUUAUUUAAAUCCAAUUCAAGUUAUUAUUGAAUAAUCUUUAUGUUACAAUUAAUCAUCAAGCUGACUUCUUCCGGUAACCAAUCGAGCAUUCUGGUCGAUUGAUAGGUUUGUUGAUGAGAGUUUCAACCUUUGAUAACAUUGUUGGUGAAAGUAUACAAUUUGUUCCACGAUAACAUGGCGUUAGAAUUAUGUUGUUCUAUUAUGCUUACCUACCUCGAAUCCUAGAUAAAAUGAGCGAAGUUUCGAUGCGCUUGGCAAGAUUAUAUUACGAUACACUUCGUUUCACAGAUGGUCUACUUUUGAGAGCGGUAACUAGUGUCUAAUUUACAUAUUUAGGCUGCCUAAAAUCUUUUCAAGAAAGAUCAUGAUCUGAAAAAUGUUUAAAAAGAGUUGUGCAACGUUUAAUGGAUGGAUUGCGUGCCACCAACAAUUGGUGCUUUCUUUUGAUUCGCAUUCUUCAAAGAAUAAUUUCUCAUGAUGUUCGCUUCGUGGACCUUUAACAUUCAUUUCAUUGCACGAAAAUAGAUGUUUGCUUACUAUGAAGAAACUCGAAACAAGAUAAAGCACUUUUAAGAAACACUAAAUGACUACAUUCGAAUCUAUUGUUGUCGUCGUAUCACAUCAAAUGAUUAUAAAUCAUUUUUUCACGGAUUGAUCAAAUUCAAAAAGAUUGUUAUUCAAAAAAAUUCAAAAGAUGAUAUAACAACACUGAUAAACGAUACUUAACGCGGGUGAAACUAUCCAAAGCGUUCAUUCUUCGACAGGCCAUUGUUCUAUUUAUCGGUAUACAAGUACGAUCUUGCAAUUUCCUGCGAGCGAAUCUCGUCUCAUGAUUAUUUUUCUACAUGAUGUAGCAGGAUUGGUUUUGAAAUCGGAUUUAAAAUCCUGUGAAAACAUUGUUGAAGCGCUUAUAUUUUGUUUAAAUUUCGCGCAAAUAGUCAAAUACGAAUAAAGAAAAU